Non-coding RNA from Phrynosoma platyrhinos (Desert horned lizard), 72 nucleotides. NCBI's taxonomy places the organism in Eukaryota, Metazoa, Chordata, Lepidosauria, Squamata, Phrynosomatidae. The record is from the annotation of a GenBank genome assembly.
GCCAGUGUGGUGUAGUGGUUUAAGCAUUAGAUUCUGACUCUGGAGAUCAGCGUUUGAAUCCCAGCUUGGGCA